AGUUGCUCAACUAUUUAUCUCAGGCUUUAUUAGGAAAAAAUCUCAUAGAGAUAACCCCAAAUGCAUUGAUUCUCAAGUUCUUAAAGAGGCAAGACAAAUGGAAAGACACUUCCUUUCUCUUUUGGAGGUAGGGUGAUCCACAUUGAAACUGUAUCAAGUAUUCGCCUCAAUUGCUUAUCUCUUUCUAAGAUUCCCAUAU
RNAcentral lists this long non-coding RNA (199 nucleotides) under Carica papaya (papaya). RNAcentral's name for it is "long non-coding RNA (CPAP_LNC001791)". Lineage: Eukaryota; Viridiplantae; Streptophyta; Magnoliopsida; Brassicales; Caricaceae. The record is from RNAcentral.